This 253-nucleotide ribosomal RNA is filed under the name uncultured bacterium. RNAcentral's name for it is "partial 16S ribosomal RNA". It matches the Rfam family "Bacterial small subunit ribosomal RNA", at positions 524 to 776 of the family's 1533-position model. The record is from RNAcentral.
UACGAAUGGGGCUAGCGUUGCUCGGAAUCACUGGGCGUAAAGCGCAUGUAGGCGGCUUCUUAAGUCAGGGGUGAAAUCCUGGAGCUCAACUCCAGAACUGCCCUUGAUACUGAGGAGCUCGAGUCCGGAAGAGGUGAGUGGAACUGCGAGUGUAGAGGUGAAAUUCGUAGAUAUUCGCAAGAACACCAGUGGCGAAGGCGGCUCACUGGUCCGGUACUGACGCUGAGGUGCGAAAGCGUGGGGAGCAAACGGG